UGGGGAGUACGGCCGCAAGGUUAAAACUCAAAUGAAUUGACGGGGGCCCGCACAAGCGGUGGAGCAUGUGGUUUAAUUUGAAGCAACGCGAAGAACCUUACCAGGCCUUGACAUCCAAUGAACUUUCCAGAGAUGGAUUGGUGCCUUUGGGAACAUUGAGACAGGUGGUGCAUGGCUGUUGUCAGCUCGUGUUGUGAGAUGUUGGGUUAAGUCCCGUAACGAGCGCAACCCUUGUCUUUAGUUACCAGCCAGUAAUGGUGGCCAUUUUAAGGAGACUGCCGGUGACAAACCGGAGGAAGGUGGGGAGGACGUCAAGUCAUCAUGGCCCUUACGCCCUGGGCUACACACGUGCUCCAAUGGUCGGUACAAAGGGUUGCCAAGCCGGGAGGUGGAGCUAAUCCCAUAAAACCGAUUGUAGUCCGGAUCCCAGUUUGCAAUUGGACUGCGUGAAGUCGGAAUCGCUAGUAAUCGCGAAUCAGAAUGUCGCGGUGAAUACGUUCCCGGCCCUUGUACACACCGCCCGUCACACCAUGGGAGUGGGUUGCACCAGAAGUAGCUAGUUUAACCUUCGGAGGACGGU
RNAcentral lists this ribosomal RNA (580 nucleotides) under Bacillus licheniformis. Its description in RNAcentral is "bacterial SSU rRNA". It matches the Rfam family "Bacterial small subunit ribosomal RNA", at positions 874 to 1454 of the family's 1533-position model. Lineage: Bacteria; Bacillati; Bacillota; Bacilli; Caryophanales; Bacillaceae. The record is from RNAcentral.